CCACGCUUGACGGGGUGUCGGUGAAUUCCGGCUGAGAUGGCGCAGGGGUAGGUCGAGCUCUCGACAACACCCAAGCACUGGUCCCGUUGAACCUGAUCCGGCUCGUACCGGCGUAGGAAUCAAGCGGUGGCCAGGC
This 136-nucleotide non-coding RNA is filed under the name Halomonas sp. Its description in RNAcentral is "TPP sequence". It matches the Rfam family "TPP riboswitch aptamer (THI element)". Rfam says of the family: Vitamin B(1) in its active form thiamin pyrophosphate (TPP) is an essential coenzyme that is synthesised by coupling of pyrimidine and thiazole moieties in bacteria. The previously detected thiamin-regulatory element, thi box was extended, resulting in a new, highly conserved RNA secondary structure, the THI element, which is widely distributed in eubacteria and also occurs in some archaea. RNAcentral also lists the same sequence under 1 other name. The record is from RNAcentral. Lineage: Bacteria; Pseudomonadati; Pseudomonadota; Gammaproteobacteria; Oceanospirillales; Halomonadaceae.